Molecule: ribosomal RNA, 149 nt
Filed under: Staphylococcus epidermidis
Lineage: Bacteria; Bacillati; Bacillota; Bacilli; Caryophanales; Staphylococcaceae
Description: partial 23S ribosomal RNA
Rfam family: Bacterial large subunit ribosomal RNA
Source: RNAcentral
AAAGCAUCUAAGCAUGAAGCCCCCCUCAAGAUGAGAUUUCCCAACUUCGGUUAUAAGAUCCCUCAAAGAUGAUGAGGUUAAUAGGUUCGAGGUGGAAGCGUGGCGACACGUGGAGCUGACGAAUACUAAUCGAUCGAAGACUUAAUCAA